UACGGGGGGGGCAAGCGUUGUUCGGAAUUACUGGGCGUAAAGGGCUCGUAGGUGGCCAACUAAGUCAGACGUGAAAUCCCCAGGCUCAACUUGGGAACUGCGUCUGAUACUGGAUGGCUUGAAUUCGGGAGAGGGAUGCAGAAUUCCAGGUGUAGCGGUGAAAUGCGUAGAUAUCUGGAGGAACACCGGUGGCGAAGGCGGCGUUCUGGACUGUAACUGACACUGAUGAACGAAAGCCAGGGGAGCAAACGGG
This 253-nucleotide ribosomal RNA is filed under the name uncultured bacterium. RNAcentral's name for it is "partial 16S ribosomal RNA". It matches the Rfam family "Bacterial small subunit ribosomal RNA", at positions 524 to 776 of the family's 1533-position model. The record is from RNAcentral.